RNAcentral lists this ribosomal RNA (465 nucleotides) under Vreelandella stevensii. RNAcentral's name for it is "partial 16S ribosomal RNA". It matches the Rfam family "Bacterial small subunit ribosomal RNA", at positions 338 to 795 of the family's 1533-position model. The record is from RNAcentral. Lineage: Bacteria; Pseudomonadati; Pseudomonadota; Gammaproteobacteria; Oceanospirillales; Halomonadaceae.
CCUACGGGGUGCAGCAGUGGGGAAUAUUGGACAAUGGGCGAAAGUCUGAUCCAGCCAUGCCGCGUGUGUGAAGAAGGCCUUCGGGUUGUAAAGCACUUUCAGUGGGGAAGAAAGCCUUGGGGCUAAUACCCUCGAGGAAGGACAUCACCCACAGAAGAAGCACCGGCUAACUCCGUGCCAGCAGCCGCGGUAAUACGGAGGGUGCGAGCGUUAAUCGGAAUUACUGGGCGUAAAGCGCGCGUAGGCGGUCUGAUAAGCCGGUUGUGAAAGCCCCGGGCUCAACCUGGGAACGGCAUCCGGAACUGUCAGGCUAGAGUGCAGGAGAGGAAGGUAGAAUUCCCGGUGUAGCGGUGAAAUGCGUAGAGAUCGGGAGGAAUACCAGUGGCGAAGGCGGCCUUCUGGACUGACACUGACGCUGAGGUGCGAAAGCGUGGGUAGCAAACAGGAUUAGAUACCCGGGUAGUC